GGACGCGGGGUGGAGCAGCUUGGUAGCUCGUCGGGCUCAUAACCCGAAGGUCGUCGGUUCAAAUCCGGCNUCGCUCCA
RNAcentral lists this transfer RNA (78 nucleotides) under Vibrio parahaemolyticus. RNAcentral describes it as "tRNA-Met". The stretch from base 11 to 69 matches the Rfam family "tRNA", at positions 8 to 63 of the family's 71-position model. Rfam says of the family: Transfer RNA (tRNA) molecules are approximately 80 nucleotides in length. Their secondary structure includes four short double-helical elements and three loops (D, anti-codon, and T loops). The record is from RNAcentral. Lineage: Bacteria; Pseudomonadati; Pseudomonadota; Gammaproteobacteria; Vibrionales; Vibrionaceae.